ACGAACCUCGUGUUACAAAGUUUACAAAAGAGAGAGCUGAGUGCUGGCUUGUAAGGUUAGGGAAGGCUCUCUGGAGAGGAAUGGGAGCAGAUCUGGGCUCUGAAGGAUGGUCAUGGUCUUCAUGGGGCAAAGGAAGACACUGGACUAGUUAGGAGGACACCAAAGAGAUGACAGCUGUGGAUUUUGAAAGCCACACAGGUCUUGAUUCGUUUUCUCUUCUGCAAUUUACUUGGGUACAGUCCACGCAUCAGAGUACAAAUCAGUGAUACAGCCCCUAACCACAAGUAUAUUAAGUAGUACAGAUACAAUUCCUGGAACAAUGGCAGCUAUUUUGCAACCAUGAGGACACAGUAAAGAGAUGAAACAUUGGGAUUUGAUGACAUUAUGGAGAUAAUGUGCAAGCCCUGGGCUGCCUAUCUUCAACCUUUUUCCUAUGUCUUAAAAAUAAACCUCUCUUUGGUUUAGCUAUUGCAA
Non-coding RNA from Vicugna pacos (alpaca), 474 nucleotides. NCBI's taxonomy places the organism in Eukaryota, Metazoa, Chordata, Mammalia, Artiodactyla, Camelidae. The record is from RefSeq and is a predicted model, not a curated record.